GGAAUAUGGGAAGGCAUGUAAUUUCACCACUUCCCUUUUAAAAUAUAAAACUCAUACUGGGGGGAAAAUAUGCAUGUAAACAAUGUGGUAAUGUCCUCAGUGUUUCCAGUUCUAGUUGAAGACAUGAAAGAAGUCAUUUCUGAAAAUCCCUGUAAACAUAUGGAAUGUGGGGAUGCCUUUGUUUCUCUCAGGUACAUUCAAAGACACAUGACAUGUGCACAAUGGAGAUGAAUCUUAUAAGAAUGUAUUCUGUAUCUAAAUCCUAGUACUUGGCAAAACAGGUAAGUUUCCAUUUUAAUAAUUAUUUCAAAAA
This 313-nucleotide long non-coding RNA is filed under the name Pan troglodytes (chimpanzee). RNAcentral's name for it is "long non-coding RNA NONPTRT004784". Lineage: Eukaryota; Metazoa; Chordata; Mammalia; Primates; Hominidae. The record is from RNAcentral.